This 497-nucleotide ribosomal RNA is filed under the name uncultured bacterium. RNAcentral describes it as "partial 16S ribosomal RNA". It matches the Rfam family "Bacterial small subunit ribosomal RNA", at positions 28 to 507 of the family's 1533-position model. The record is from RNAcentral.
GAUGAACGCUGGCGGCGUGCCUAAUACAUGCAAGUCGAGCGAACAGACGAGGAGCUUGCUUCUCUGACGUUAGCGGCGGACGGGUGAGUAACACGUGGAUAACCUACCUAUAAGACUGGGAUAACUUCGGGAAACCGGAGCUAAUACCGGAUAAUAUAUUGAACCGCAUGGUUCAAUAGUGAAAGACGGUUUUGCUGUCACUUAUAGAUGGAUCCGCGCCGCAUUAGCUAGUUGGUAAGGUAACGGCUUACCAAGGCAACGAUGCGUAGCCGACCUGAGAGGGUGAUCGGCCACACUGGAACUGAGACACGGUCCAGACUCCUACGGGAGGCAGCAGUGGGGAAUCUUCCGCAAUGGGCGAAAGCCUGACGGAGCAACGCCGCGUGAGUGAUGAAGGUCUUCGGAUCGUAAAACUCUGUUAUUAGGGAAGAACAAAUGUGUAAGUAACUAUGCACGUCUUGACGGUACCUAAACAGAAAGCACCGGCUAACUACGUG